Molecule: ribosomal RNA, 453 nt
Filed under: uncultured bacterium
Lineage: Bacteria
Description: bacterial SSU rRNA
Rfam family: Bacterial small subunit ribosomal RNA
Source: RNAcentral
UACGAGUUUGAUCAUGGCUCAGAACGAACGCUGGCGGCAGGCCUAACACAUGCAAGUCGAGCGCCCCGCAAGGGGAGCGGCGGACGGGUGAGUAACGCGUGGGAACGUACCCUUUGCUACGGAAUAGCCUCGGGAAACUGGGAGUAAUACCGUAUGUGCCCUUCGGGGGAAAGAUUUAUCGGCAAAGGAUCGGCCCGCGUUGGAUUAGGUAGUUGGUGGGGUAAUGGCCUACCAAGCCGACGAUCCAUAGCUGGUUUGAGAGGAUGAUCAGCCACACUGGGACUGAGACACGGCCCAGACUCCUACGGGAGGCAGCAGUGGGGAAUCUUAGACAAUGGGCGCAAGCCUGAUCUAGCCAUGCCGCGUGAGCGAUGAAGGCCUUAGGGUUGUAAAGCUCUUUCAGUGGGGAAGAUAAUGACUGUACCCACAGAAGAAGCCCCGGCUAACUCCGUG